Molecule: ribosomal RNA, 754 nt
Filed under: Setophaeosphaeria hemerocallidis
Lineage: Eukaryota; Fungi; Ascomycota; Dothideomycetes; Pleosporales; Phaeosphaeriaceae
Description: eukaryotic LSU rRNA
Rfam family: Eukaryotic large subunit ribosomal RNA
Source: RNAcentral
AAAUUUGAAAUCUGGCUCUUUCAGGGUCCGAGUUGUAAUUUGCAGAGGGCGCUUUGGCGUUGGCAGCGGUCCAAGUUCCUUGGAACAGGACGUCACAGAGGGUGAGAAUCCCGUACGUGGUCGCUGGCCUUCGCCGUGUAAAGCCCCUUCGACGAGUCGAGUUGUUUGGGAAUGCAGCUCUAAAUGGGAGGUAAAUUUCUUCUAAAGCUAAAUACUGGCCAGAGACCGAUAGCGCACAAGUAGAGUGAUCGAAAGAUGAAAAGCACUUUGGAAAGAGAGUCAAAUAGCACGUGAAAUUGUUGAAAGGGAAGCGCUUGCAGCCAGACUUGCCUGUAGUUGCUCAUCCGGGUUUCUACCCGGUGCACUCUUCUAUAGGCAGGCCAGCAUCAGUUUGGGCGGUUGGAUAAAGGUCUCUGUCACGUACCUCCUCUCGGGGAGGCCUUAUAGGGGAGACGACAUGCAACCAGCCUGGACUGAGGUCCGCGCAUCUGCUAGGAUGCUGGCGUAAUGGCUGUAAGCGGCCCGUCUUGAAACACGGACCAAGGAGUCUAACAUCUAUGCGAGUGUUUGGGUGUCAAGCCCGAGCGCGUAAUGAAAGUGAACGGAGGUGGGAUCCCUUAAGGGUGCACCAUCGACCGAUCCUGAUGUCUUCGGAUGGAUUUGAGUAAGAGCAUGGCUGUUGGGACCCGAAAGAUGGUGAACUAUGCUUGAAUAGGGUGAAGCCAGAGGAAACUCUGGUGGAGGCUCGCAGCGG